RNAcentral lists this ribosomal RNA (253 nucleotides) under uncultured bacterium. Its description in RNAcentral is "partial 16S ribosomal RNA". It matches the Rfam family "Bacterial small subunit ribosomal RNA", at positions 524 to 776 of the family's 1533-position model. The record is from RNAcentral.
UACGUAGGGUGCAAGCGUUGUCCGGAAUCACUGGGCGUAAAGGGCGCGUAGGCGGCUCAUGAAGGCUGUGGUGAAAGUCCGGGGCUCAACCUCGGAUCGGCCGUGGCGACUCGUGGGCUGGAGCACUGUAGAGGCGGGUGGAAUUCCGGGUGUAGCGGUGGAAUGCGUAGAGAUCCGGAAGAACACCGGUGGCGAAGGCGGCCUGCUGGGCAGUAGCUGACACUGAGGCGCGACAGCGUGGGGAGCAAACAGG